Pelobates cultripes (western spadefoot toad) is the source of this 1070-nucleotide non-coding RNA. Lineage: Eukaryota; Metazoa; Chordata; Amphibia; Anura; Pelobatidae. The record is from the annotation of a GenBank genome assembly.
GGUGUAUCUAAAGGGGAGACAGUCGGUCUCCAGCAGCAGAGCGGUGUAGUUAAAGGGGAGACAGUCGGUCACCCCCUCCAACAACCAGGCUUCAACCAGGCUACCCUCCCAGUAGCGCUGGCAACAGGGCAGAGUGCCGCUGGUCUCUGCCCACGCAGCAACCCACCCAGUCAGCGUACCCGUACCCAGCACAGCUGUGGUGAGGCUCCUGGACAUGGACAAGCUUCUCCUUUACCCAGGUGUAGUAACCAUUUAUUGUGGGUGGGCUGUGCUGUUGAUUAUGUUUUGUGGGUGGGCUGCUGGACUAACAAGUGCACUGACCGGCAGGAGGUCAGAUACCCUGUUAGUCUGUUUGGAAAAGGGGAGAGAUGUGACGAGACCAAUCUCGCCACAUUGCAUUGGAGAAGACUGGUUGCUCGACUGCUGCCUUUGGACUAUGGCCCCCUGUUAAAAGACAUCUUUUUUUACCUGCAGAAAAGCUUCAUUCGUGCUUUUCUGCCUGGGGUUCGGUAGAUUUGUUUGAAUGUGUUAUACCCCAGAUAAGAAUCCCAUGGAGCCCAUUCGUAUGAAACUGACUGUAAAGACUUUGGCUCCAUGGCGAUUAAACUGUAUUCGUGUGGUCUGAGCGCCAUUCGCUUAAUAAUGUGCGCUCAGACCUGAGCUAUCUGGGGAUAUGUUAAAUGUCUGUGUGUUAUGUGUAAAAGGUGACUUUAUGCAUUUUAAAGUGUUUUACUGUCUUUGUGUCACCAUGUGCAUAAUGGAGUCUUGUCCCUGUCCUGGGAGAUAAUUGAAUUACUUCUCACUUAUCUCCAGGGCAGAGGAGAGGAAGCCAGGAUGCAUUGUGGUAAAAGGUAUGUGUAUUGGGUUACCUCUCAGGAUAAGGGGGAGGGAAUCUGUGGGUUGUAACUAAUAUGUUACUGGAUAUUUUAUACCUCCCUGUGGGCGGUCCUGUAUUUGCAAUACUGUAAUAAAAACCAGGCUGGGUGUGCCAGCACCUCAGACCACUGCUUGACCCUCAACACGGAACCUUGUCUCAUUCUUGGGGGGAUUCACUGUAUGCUGUUAGAGAC